This 397-nucleotide ribosomal RNA is filed under the name uncultured bacterium. Its description in RNAcentral is "bacterial SSU rRNA". It matches the Rfam family "Bacterial small subunit ribosomal RNA", at positions 975 to 1375 of the family's 1533-position model. The record is from RNAcentral.
CAGGGCUUGACAUCCUACUAACGAAGUAGAGAUACAUCAGGUGCCCUUCGGGGAAAGUAGAGACAGGUGGUGCAUGGUUGUCGUCAGCUCGUGUCGUGAGAUGUUGGGUUAAGUCCCGCAACGAGCGCAACCCUUAUUGUUAGUUGCUACGCAAGAGCACUCUAGCGAGACUGCCGUUGACAAAACGGAGGAAGGUGGGGACGACGUCAAAUCAUCAUGCCCCUUAUGUCCUGGGCUACACACGUAAUACAAUGGCGGUCAACAGAGGGAUGCAAAACCGUGAGGUGGAGCGAACCCCUAAAAGCCGUCCCAGUUCAGAUCGCAGUCUGCAACCCGACUGCGUGAAGUCGGAAUCGCUAGUAAUCGCGGAUCAGCAUGCCGCGGUGAAUACGUUCCC